This 6349-nucleotide long non-coding RNA is filed under the name Olea europaea subsp. europaea. Lineage: Eukaryota; Viridiplantae; Streptophyta; Magnoliopsida; Lamiales; Oleaceae. The record is from RNAcentral.
GAGAACGGCAAACCCUUAUUUCCAUGGACCGUGUUAUUCGUACCCGGAGUUUAACACUCUGGGUUACAUGGUCCCACCUCCCCACUCACAUGGGGAGGUCGGCCCCACACAUUUAGGCAUGGGUCCCCGACCUCUCCAUGUGAGAGGUCGGGUGGGACCGUGUAACCCGGAGUGGUACAAAUGGCAAAACCCUAUUUCCAUUCGAACUUUGAUUCUUCAAAGCAGAGCUACAACAGUAGCCGGCUAGCAGCUGUAGCAUGGAGUCGGUGGAUUGGAUUGUGUGCGGCAUGCCGGUGGGCAGUGUGCAAACAAUUGAACAAGGCCUCGACCACGACCAGCUUGUGAGUGGUGAGUUGAAAUUUAAAUAACUUGAAGUUUUGAAACUUGAAAUCUUGAUUUUGAAUACUUGAUUACUUGAAGUCUUGCUUGAAUUUGAAUACUACAAUUUGCAAACCCUUUGGCCUUUGCUGAUUUAUCGAUUUGUGCAAACCCUUUGUUGAUUUGUCAAUUUGCAAUUCAACAAUUAAAAUUGAUUUGUCGAUUCUCUAGACAUUGGUUGCAAUUUGCAAACCCUUUGUUGACUGACUUGAGUGUUGUUUCUUGUUUGAUGCAAGGAAUUGAUGUAUUUUGUGUUAUUAGUUAUUAUUUAUUGAUCGGUCGACAUUCAGUGAAUCAAUGUUUAAUUCAUAUGGAAAAGGAAAAUGGGAUUAUGGAUUUACUACUAAGAAUUGUGAUUUUUUUAUUGAUUCUAAUUGAAAAUUAAAUUAGGGCAUUGCAGAGUAUGAAACAGUUACAGAGUAAGGUUGUAUCAUAUGUUUAUUUAGUAUUUUGGGUUUUAUUGAUCUAUAUUUUCAUAUGUAUAUAAUUUUUACGUUUUAGUGCAUUUGCAUAUACAUUGAAUAAUUUUUAAUAUUAUUUAAUCAAAUUUUAAUAAACGAUCGGGCUAUUAUGAUUAUAUUGUUGAUUGUCGACAGUCAACAGUCAAAGUCAACAUCCACCCUAGCUGAACGUGGAUCCUGGAUUCACACCUGAUUGAGGGUCUUGAAUUUCAAAACACCUUUAUAUCUUAAACAUCUAUAUCCAACACCCAAACUAUUUUGUCCUCUUCCACCUAAGGUUUUUAGUUGUCCUACGUUCAUCCAUAUGCAUUGUCAUAAUAGAGGAAAGAUGGAUCCAAGAGCUCUUAGACGUGUCUUACAAGGUUAUUCACCUACCAAAAAGGUAACAGGUAUUAUCACCCUCCAAACAAAAUACUUUUUUGUAUGUAAGUAAUACCUUUUUCAAGAACAACUCUUUUUUCACCAAAAACUUCUCUACAAGAGGAAAAUGAAAAGCACAAAGAUCAAAUUUGAAAUGUACUGAUUAUUGUUCAAUCUUCUAGUCACGAGUCUCCAAUAUUCUUUCUGUGCAAUCUUCUUUGGAUCAUGAGUAUUGUGUCAUUUAACUUCCCCAUGAGUCUCAUAUUGUUCAAGCAUAUGAUCAUAACUCUAUUUCUCACUUUUCUCCAUUGGAUCCUAUCAUUCCAUUUGAGUGUGUACAAAAUAGAACUAAAUCUCACUGAAGGAAGAACAAGUGAUGACUUUCUCAACAAAUGAGCAAGAAAAAUUUCUAGAAAAUUCCAGGUAAUUCUUCUUCUAUCCUAACAUACCAAGAAAUCUUAAUUUAAUAAAUAUUCUGAUCUUCAUAUUCCGAUUGUUCAUAAGAAAGGUGUUAGGAGUUCUACUUUGCAUUUUAUUUCGAAAUUGUUUCGCGUCAAAUAAUCCCGUUCCUAUAGUGUCUUUAAUGCUAAUCUGUCUUUUUGUAAUUCUCUUCCAAAGUACUCCACAGGAAGCAACGACUAUUCCAAGACGGAAGUGGGUUAUAAAAGAGGCAACAAGGGCGUUGCAAAAGAGUGGUACAUGACAACUAGUUGAUCUUAUGCCCAAAAGGAAAUGGGUGGGAUCUAAAUGGAUGUUUACUCUUAAACACAAAGCUGAUGGGACAGUUGAAAGAUAUAUGGCAAGACUCAUAAGUAAAUGAUUUAUAUAGGCUAGUGAAAUUGCUCCUAGAAUACAUUAGCUCUAGUAGAAAAAAUGAGGGUAAACAUUGCCUAAGCCGUGUGAUUCGAAAUUUAUAAUGUAUUCUCCAUUGAAAGUUAAUAUAGAUGUAGUUUAGUAAUUGGUGCUCCACACUCAUGAUAUUUAUGCCCAAUAAUUCAUAAUUUAUAAUGAGUAUUUUAAAACGUUUUAAUGUGUAUUUUGAUGUUGUGUAUAGAUUGACGAAAUCGAAAGAAAUAGGCAAAAGUUGGCGAAUUGGAUGAAAGGACCAAAUUGUAAGAGAUCCAAAGUCGGGGACUAAAGCGCAAAUAAUCAAAAGUUGUGUCGAACCUCAUGAUGAAGAUCCGAGAGUGUUGGGAGUCAAUUGGAUGAAGAAAGAUGUCAAAGGGAUCAAAUUUAGUCAAAAUAUGGUCACAAAUUAAUUUCCAACUGAAAAGCUAUGCUCCAGAGUUUCAGUCUCACUUUGAUACUAGCAAAGUUGUAGUCCUCUGGGUUAUCUUUCCAACACAUUUUGAAUUACCUCAUUCGGACAUCAGACAAGAAAGUUAUGCUAAAAAUAUUGAAGGAUGCACAAUUUGUCAUUUUAGCCGAACUGGCGCAGAAUAUGGGCGCCGCAACGCCCAUUAUUAUGGAAUUCAGCAGUAUGCCGAGCGCCCAUAUUGGGCGCCGAUGUGCCGGCCAUGCUUGGAAACGCGUUUUAAUGAUUUUAGACUCUUUUCUUGGUCCAAUUCAAACCUAAUUCGUCCUAAACUCCAAUGACACUAUAAAUACAAGUUCAAAACCCUAUUUUCUAGGACAAUUGAACACACAAUUCAUCUAGGAUAAGGAGGCUAUAUCAAGGAAUCACGAAGAAAGCAUGAAGAACAUCAAAGGAGAAGUCAAUUAAAAGUUUGUAGAGUUUUUUCCUAAUGAAAUUUUCAUAGCUAAGGAACAAGAACAACACUUGCAUUUUUAAGUGAUUUGUUGUCCUGGGUAUACAUCCUCUCCAUCACUCUCUUUAUCUAGAUUCCCCAUUUACUUUUUCUAAUUUAACUUUUCUUUUUCAGGAGUUGUUCUGUUUCCAGAAGCCAUACUUCUCCCUGGAGUAAUUUGUUCUGUUUCCAAAAGCCAUACUUCCCCCUGGAGUAAUUUUACCUAAUUUUAUAGUUGUUAUUGAACGAUCGUUGACACAAGUUCAUGUUCCCUAUUAUAUUGGUAUGGUACGUAAGCUCCUUGAUACACUAUUUCAUUAUCUUUCUGUCACUGGAAUUUGUUUAGUCCUUAAAAUUGACAUGAUGCAGGCCAUGUGAUGCGAACCCAAUCAACAAGGUUACACAGGAUAUUAAAUCGGAUCCCAAGAACUCCCAAAUACGACCAAGGUUUAGGAUCUAAUCCCCAAACGUUGAACCAAGUAACCGGAGGUAUAUGAAACCCACGACCUCUUGAUCACAAAGUCUCGAAAUUACACCCGGAUUGUGGAUUUAAAUCCCAAAAUAGUGAAUUAAGCAACGAAAGGUAUAUUAAACCAAUGACCUCUUAAUUACAAGUUUUUGAAAUUCUCACCAAUAUUUUCGAACGCCACAAGAUCGAUUAAAUCUUGAUAAGUUCACUCAUUCAAUUAAGAACGAAAGAUUUUUGAAGCAUACGCUUCGGAAGAGAAAAACUCCAUUAAUUCAUCAACGAAGUUCUAAUGUUCAAUACAAUGAAAAUCCUAUUUAUACUAGAAAAUAUAAAACCUAAUUAAAAUUGGAAAAAAGUCCUAAACUAUGGUAAAAUCGUGCCUCUAGAGUCCUAGGAAUAAUAGAGUUACCAAAAAUAAUAAAUCUAUUAAAAUAAACGUAUCGCGUGAAAGUUGGAAUUUUCAAUAGCCAACCAAUUUCAUCCAAAGCUGCUGCAUUCUGUCAUUUGUCCAUACAUAUAUAUUAUUCAAUUCAGCCCUCCACUGCAUGCAUGUGACCAUAGAUUAUUAAAUUCUGCAUUGCUCCAGCUAGCUUGCUUAAAUUUCCUCCAGCUUGCUUAGUUCUUCAUUCCCAACACGCUAAACUGAUUCCAGGUUCAUUAUCUCCAAUAAUUUAUAUUAUAAACUGAUUCCAGGUUACUUAGAUCUUGUUAAUUGGCAUGCAAUCUUCAACAUAUUGACCCCCCAUAGCUUGAAUAAUUAAUUGCAUGAUCAACUUGCCUCGAUUUAAUGUUGAUUGAAGCUUAAUUCUUGGCCUUGGCCGCCAUCCAACAAUCAUCAAUUCUUCAAUCGUUUGCGGCGCAUCUCGAAUCACAUCACCAUGUUUUUCAGGUUCGUCUUUCCAAUGAUCCUACUACUAGGAAGAUAAAGUUUCCAACUACUAGUACAACUGCAGAAGUACAAACUGGAAUUCUUUUUCCCAGUUCUUUUGUUUCAUCCCUCCAAAAUUGACUUUGAUGCCAUGAAUUUACGUUACAUGUAAAUCAUAUCUUUUUUAAGUUUGCUUGUUUUAUUUGUUUAAAUAGAACUAAAAUUCCAUGACAUUGUGAAUGGGAACUCAUUCUUAGUUUAGAGAGAGUGACUGAUCAACAAGCAACGAUAACUACUAUACUUGACUUUGUCCACAGAAUUAACUAAAGUCAGAAGUAGAGAAUAUGAAUAUUUCAGGGAGAGAAGCUUGCAGCGGCCGCCCUAUCAACGCAAGACACCUCGGCGGGUGGGCACCCACACACCUGUGGGCCAGCCGCCGCGGUGUCACGUCGAGGUUGGGCCGCCCCACACAAGUUUUAGCCAAUUUCAGGUCAUGACUUGAAAUAUUGAAUAUUUUAGGUAGUUUAUUGGACUCAAAAGCAAGAAGUCAGAACAUGCAUUUUAAUUUUAAGAUAUUGUAACAUUAAUUUUACCAUUUUUGUUUUCUGGGUGACACAGGGAUUAUGUGGAGAUCAAAUAUAAUAUGACUGUCAACUAAGUAAUUUCUAUAAACUUGAGAACAAUGGAUGACCGAGUGUAAGAAUGGUAAAAUUUAAAAUGAAAUUGAAAUUCAAUUACACAAAUUCAGAUCACAUAUGAAAUUCACGCUUAUAAAUAUACACGUUUGGACUUUUUGUGUAAAUUAAAAAAAAUAUAUGUCUUACUUAUUUUUUAUUUUUUAUUUCUAAAUUUAGUCCCAUUUGACCCCCAUUUUUUCAAAUUUAAAGAGUGAAAUAGUUUUUUUUUUUUUUUUUUGGAGAAUUAAUGGUUAAAAAAAAGUUUUCGAUUUACGUGUAAUAUUAUUUUAUAAAAAAUUGUGAUUGAAAAACAGGAGAGAGAAAAAUGUAAUGUAAUUUAAUUUAAUGGGGGCACAUUGGGCUUUACUUAUUUAUAAAUAAUUACUUGGGAUUUAAACGUAGAUCCUCAUUUUUUUUCUUUUCUUUUUUUCUCCCCCCACCCCCUUAAAAUCCCGGAUUUUGGUAUUAAGUCGGAGAAGAGGGUUGUUUCACGGGUAUAUCUACUGUUCCUAACUCAAACUUGAUUUUCUUUUCUUUUUCUUUUGAAUAAAUAGAGAACAAGAAAGAUUCUUUAAUUGUAUAAUUUUUCACAAUUCUUUAAUUUUCUUUAAUUGAUUUCUAAAAAAGUUAAACUUAAUAAUACAUGUAUAGAACAUUGUUUUGUAACAGUUCUCAUUGUUCCUCUAUGAUUUUUAUACCUUUUCAUCAUUUGAAUUAACACUGAAUAUAUCCACAUUUUUUAUAUAGCUUGAGACAGUGACAAAUCCAAAAUAUAGUUGUUGGCCGAGAGAGCAAAUAAUAGCCUAAUUGACUAUCAUGACGCUUGGCAUUUCUUGAAAGUGUUGGAAUUAUAAAACCCACAUUUUAAAACGUUAAUUUGCCAUAACAUUCAUUUUAUCAUUUUCGUUUCUAGGGUGUCAGGAAUGGAUGAUGUAGAUCAAUUGUGGUAUGACUACUAAAUAAAGGAAUGAUAUAUAGGGACAAAAUGCAAUCGAGUAAUAAAUUUGAAACUAAUCUGAAGUUCAAUAACCUAAUUGAGAUGAAAUUUUUCUUAAGUUAGUCAUCAUAGAUGAAAUUAACCCUUAUAUGUUGUUUAAUUUCUCUAUCUUGGAAUUCGUAUCAAGUCACGUUAAAAGAUUGGUUCACACAUUUAUAACAAGAACAUUUGUAAAUAGGGAUGUCAACAGUCGAGUCGAGUCAAAACUCGAAGCUCUGGCUCAACUUGAGUAAAAAUAGUUCGGAUUUUUUUUUGCUUGAGCCAGGCCAAGCUUUUGCUCAACCAAAAAAUAUAGGCUCAAACUUUAACGAGUCGAGACGGCUCUUUUUUUUUUUUUUUUUUAAUCGAUUCAGCUGCCUUAUUAUACAUUGUUACUGCAGGUAGCUACUAC